Molecule: ribosomal RNA, 472 nt
Filed under: uncultured bacterium
Lineage: Bacteria
Description: bacterial SSU rRNA
Rfam family: Bacterial small subunit ribosomal RNA
Source: RNAcentral
CUGGCGGCGUGCCUAAUACAUGCAAGUCGAACGGACGAUGGGGGCUUCGGCCCCAAAGUUAGUGGCGAACGGGGUGAGUAACGCGUGAGCAACCUGACUCAAAGAGGGGGGACAACAGCUGGAAACGGCUGCUAAUACCGCAUAAGACCACAGCGCGGCAUCGCAAAGGGGUCAAAGAAUUAUCGCUUUGAGAGGGGCUCGCGUCCCAUUAGAUAGUUGGUGAGGUAACGGCCCACCAAGUCCGCGAUGGGUAGCCGAGCUGAGAGGCUGAUCGGCCACACUGGAACUGAGACACGGUCCAGACUCCUACGGGAGGCAGCAGUAGGGAAUAUUGGGCAAUGGGCGCAAGCCCUGACCCAGCAACGCCGCGUGAGGGAAGAAGGUUUUCGGAUUGUAAACCUCUGUCCUAUGUGACGAAGGAAGUGACGGUAGCAUAGGAGGAAGCCCCGGCUAACUACGUGCCAGCCGCCGC